Molecule: ribosomal RNA, 462 nt
Filed under: uncultured bacterium
Lineage: Bacteria
Description: partial 16S ribosomal RNA
Rfam family: Bacterial small subunit ribosomal RNA
Source: RNAcentral
CCUACGAGGAGGCAGCAGUGAGGAAUAUUGGUCAAUGGGCGCGAGCCUAAACCAGCCAAGUCGCGUGAGGGAAGACGGCCCUACGGGUUGUAAACCUCUUUUGCCGGGGAGCAACGGGCGCCACGUGUGGCGCCACUGAGAGUACCCGGAGACAAAGCAUCGGCUAACUCCGUGCCAGCAGCCGCGGUAAUACGGAGGAUGCGAGCGUUAUUCGGAUUUAUUGGGUUUAAAGGGAGCGUAGAUGGGAUGUUAAGUCAGUUGUGAAAGUUUGCGGCUCAACCAUAAAAGUGCAAUUGAUACUGGCAGUCGUGAGUACAGUGGAGGUAGGCGGAAUUCGUGGUGUAGCGGUGAAAUGCUUAGAUAUCACGAAGAACUCCGAUUGCGAAGGCAGCUGACUAAACUGCCACUGACAUUGAUGCUCGAAAGUGUGGGUAUCAAACAGGAUUAGAUACCCUAGUAGUC